This 492-nucleotide ribosomal RNA is filed under the name uncultured bacterium. RNAcentral describes it as "partial 16S ribosomal RNA". It matches the Rfam family "Bacterial small subunit ribosomal RNA", at positions 29 to 507 of the family's 1533-position model. The record is from RNAcentral.
AGUGAACGCUGGCGGUAGGCCUAACACAUGCAAGUCGAACGGCAGCACAGUAAGAGCUUGCCCUUACGGGUGGCGAGUGGCGGACGGGUGAGGAAUACAUCGGAAUCUACUUUUUCGUGGGGGAUAACGUAGGGAAACUUACGCUAAUACCGCAUACGACCUACGGGUGAAAGCAGGGGAUCUUCGGACCUUGCGCGAUCGAAUGAGCCGAUGUCGGAUUAGCUAGUUGGCGGGGUAAAGGCCCACCAAGGCGACGAUCCGUAGCUGGUCUGAGAGGAUGAUCAGCCACACUGGAACUGAGACACGGUCCAGACUCCUACGGGAGGCAGCAGUAGGGAAUAUUGGACAAUGGGCGCAAGCCUGAUCCAGCCAUGCCGCGUGGGUGAAGAAGGCCUUCGGGUUGUAAAGCCCUUUUGUUGGGAAAGAAAAGCAGCGGGUUAAUACCCCGCUGUUCUGACGGUACCCAAAGAAUAAGCACCGGCUAACUUCGUG